AUUGAACGCUGGCGGCAUGCCUUACACAUGCAAGUCGAACGGCAGCACGGGAGCAAUCCUGGUGGCGAGUGGCGAACGGGUGAGUAAUGUAUCGGAACGUACCUUUCAGUGGGGGAUAACGUAGCGAAAGUUACGCUAAUACCGCAUAUUCUGUGCGCAGGAAAGCAGGGGAUCGCAAGACCUUGCGCUGAUUGAGCGGCCGAUAUCAGAUUAGCUAGUUGGUGAGGUAAAGGCUCACCAAGGCGACGAUCUGUAGCGGGUCUGAGAGGAUGAUCCGCCACACUGGAACUGAGACACGGUCCAGACUCCUACGGGAGGCAG
RNAcentral lists this ribosomal RNA (321 nucleotides) under uncultured Pseudomonadota bacterium. Its description in RNAcentral is "bacterial SSU rRNA". It matches the Rfam family "Bacterial small subunit ribosomal RNA", at positions 30 to 351 of the family's 1533-position model. The record is from RNAcentral. Lineage: Bacteria; Pseudomonadati; Pseudomonadota.